CACUGAUCCUCAGGCCCUUACGGUCUCUCUGCCCCGUCUUCUGUGAUAUCCCCAGAGCCUUUACAGUGCCAAUUAUGUUGAAGAUGCAUCAAUUGGGGUUCAAAAGCCUAAGGACAGUUUAUCUCUGCACACUGACCAGUUGUGAAUCCCUGUGGUGGUCUCUGACUGCUGCAAAAAGAAGAUUUUCUGGACCUGAGCUCUGCUGAAGGAGGCAUCACCUGGGUCGAAGGCCGGCAUUAACUUUAGAGCCAAGAACACACACCGUAAAGCUGGUGCACUGACUCGGUGUCUCUCCAGCUCAGCGGUUCUCCAGGGUGACUUCGCACCUUGGAUUUGUCCCCUCAUCCACAGAGACGUUUGGCCCCAUCUAAAGGCUGCUGGAUGGAAUCGAGGCAGCUGCCUGGCUCAUAAGCUGAAUGGAAGCUGGGAGCAAGAAUGGAGCGCUGAACACAGCUCCUUGCUGAGCGCAGAGAGCAGCUGCAGAGAGCCCAUUUCCUCGAUGGCAUCGGAGCCUGCUAUUUGGAACUCCAGCACAUACUGAAGAUAAGACAUCCAGCCUCUUGAACAACUACUGGAUUCUCGACUCUUCCGUUGGUAGACAGUCAUUGUUGGCCUAGCUGUGUCAAAGACUAUAAGUCAUUAUAAUAAAUUCCAUAUACAGUCGUU
Molecule: small RNA, 666 nt
Filed under: Rattus norvegicus (Norway rat)
Lineage: Eukaryota; Metazoa; Chordata; Mammalia; Rodentia; Muridae
Description: uncharacterized LOC102550429
Source: RNAcentral